GCAGCGUCGGGCGAAGUUUGUAGCGCGGAACUUUUAUAUAAGGCAGAUAAGGCAAAAUUGUGUUCUUACCGUUCUAACUUCUAAGUUCAAGUUCAUUUUAUUUUGGUUAGAAAUGAAGGAGUCAACGGUAUUAAGUGUAGUUGCAUCAAUAGCGUUUGCCCUAGGAAUUUUCGUGGGUUAUGAGCUUAAAACUUGGAGGAUUGAAUGGUUGAAAAGACGUCGAGAAAGGCUUGCCAAGAAGCUUGCGGCAACUCAGCAGCAAAUAGAUAAUUUGUCAGAGCGAGAGCGCUACUAGCAUGUGGUAAAAACAUUGCAAUUCAUGGCUGUAAGAGGAGUAGGAGGACUACUAACUGAAGCUGUUUCAUCAUCAUCUGGUGGGUGGAUUUUAUACAAGAAAUGGUGGUACGGGGCACCUGCUUCACCAGACCAGUGUAUGAUGGUGGUGAAAUGCCAGCAACUGCAGACCUGCCCAAAUGGAGCUCUAUUGCACCAACAUGGCAGUGAUAUGACAAAGUUUUAGCAUAGAUACAAGGGUAGAUAACAUCUGCUCAACUUCAACUUGUGACAGGACAGCUGUGACUUGUGAGUGGUCAGACAUCCAUCAUCAAGAGCAUGGAGUCAUCAUUGCUGAAACUGGACCUUAAUUGUGUUGUUGCCCAUCACAACAGUUGCUGUUUUUUAUAAUUAUAAUUGGCUUCAUCACUUGUAAUAAAAUGGUCAUUAAUUCUGUUUCUAAUUGCCCAGUGUGGAAAGAUACCUUUCUGACUUGUGCUCAGAGCUCAGACAGCAUUGUUGUGCAAUAUAUGCUUUUUUUUUGUCUCACACUCAGUGACUUAUUGACUACUGGUUAGUGAAAAUGUAAGUGCAUUGCUGUUGUAAGAAUAACUACGUUUCUGGCACUGCCUUAUUGCUGGAUGCUUGUGAAUAGAUAAGGAAAACUUCGGUUGUUU
This is a long non-coding RNA of Amphibalanus amphitrite, 950 nucleotides long. RefSeq lists it as uncharacterized. The transcript is spliced from 3 exons. Lineage: Eukaryota; Metazoa; Arthropoda; Thecostraca; Balanomorpha; Balanidae. The record is from RefSeq and is a predicted model, not a curated record.